CACAUUUUCCACGACAGCCCAAUUACGAGUUUCGCUUUCUCAAUCGUAAUUCGCACUCUAAACACAUGCCGUGAGCGAAUUACAAUAAAAGUGGGAAAUUCGUUAUUAAUUGUAACAAACAAGCGAAACGGAAAACUGUUAAAUUGCGUGGAAUGGUGGAAGUUCGCAUUUGUAAUUGAAAGAGAGAAAUACGUAAUUGGGCUGCCGUGGACAUGUAUAACAUUCAUACAAUUUUUUUAUCGAUAAUAAUAACCCAACGUGUGGACGUUAAAACUAUUAGUUGGUCUACAAAUUUGAUAAUUAGAUAUGUAAAUAUUGUAUAUACGCAUAGGCGUAUAUGAUUGCAUGCACAUGUACAUAUAAAUUGUAGUAAAAACUCAGAUUGGAAUAUUUAGUAUUACGGGAGUUUAAACGCCGAAAGCGCGACCUUAAUUUUUCUGCAGAGCAAAAACUCAAAUUAGUAGGUGGGACUGAGCAGAUAGCUUUCAUAGUAAGAUAAGCACAUGCAAAUAAUAAUUAAUCACCUCUUUGUAUACAUUUUGCAGAUAUUUUGUACACUUUCCCUUACCAUUUAAGUUUACUUUGUUAUUAUCCACCAGCUGGCUGCGAGGGGGUAGCUUAUUUCAAGAAAAAAACGUUUCUACUACAUUUUUUUUAAGUUUUUCCGAUAACGCGCGACCGCUGCUGUUCCAAAUGAGCGCCACCGCUUGAGGUUAAAUAAAAGUCACAAAAUUUUGUAAAGGAGUUUUCCACUUGGCUGUCCAGCUUUCCAAGGGUACACGCUGUUUUAUGCUACAAUAAGUUUAUUAUUAUUAUUAACGAGUAAUUUUAAAAUAUAUACAUUCUUUAAAUUUC
Long non-coding RNA from Ceratitis capitata (Mediterranean fruit fly), 855 nucleotides. RefSeq lists it as uncharacterized. The transcript is spliced from 2 exons. Lineage: Eukaryota; Metazoa; Arthropoda; Insecta; Diptera; Tephritidae. The record is from RefSeq and is a predicted model, not a curated record.